RNAcentral lists this long non-coding RNA (1770 nucleotides) under Olea europaea (common olive). RNAcentral's name for it is "long non-coding RNA (OEUR_LNC006515)". Lineage: Eukaryota; Viridiplantae; Streptophyta; Magnoliopsida; Lamiales; Oleaceae. The record is from RNAcentral.
GUGUUUGAUUGUCAUUAUUUUCCAUGAAAAAUAUCAUUUUUUUCCAACUUUUAUUGUUUGAUAGCCACUAUUUUCCAUGGAAAUUGUCACUUUUUCCAUGGAAAAUGGUCACUUUUCCAUGAAAAUUAUUCAUUCAAUUUUUUAGGACUUUCUUCCAUCACAAAAGCCUGUUUAGUGAAGUGAACCAGUGCCAUAUUUUUUAUUCUGAUCCGAAUGUCAACUAUUUAAUUAAUUAUAGGAUACAUUAAUAUUAACAAUGUUGUUCUCAUUGCUUAAGUUAAAAAGUGCACUACUAUUAUGCAAGAACAAUAUGCUGCUAGAUCGACGUUUGUCCAACAUAUAUGAAGGAGAUCUAGCAAUUGCAGACCAAAUACAUUAACAAUGUUUAUCAACUCUCCUUGAUUCUGUAACAGAAUCUUCACUCUCUCAAUUGGUGCAACAGCACUUUUUCGCUAUAAUUGUAGCAGACCCUACCAUAAUAAAAUCCACGAAAAUUUUUUUCAGAUCGUGUUGCCAUCUCAAAUCCCUCUCCCUUGCCCUCCGCCCCUCCCUAGACCUGCACAGUGAACAUCCAAAUGAUGUUUCAGAAAUUUUUUAUCUUUUCUCUAGCUAUGUUUUCCUUUUAAUUCUCCUCCUCGUAGGUUUUUACCACUUUUUAAAAUUAAAAACAGACUCUAUGAGGUACUUUUGUAAAUGAGAUUAAUGGACUGAAACCAAGCAGAAAGACGAGCCGAAUCAACAACUGCCUGAACCGAACAGCAAGAACCCAGCAAAACACACUCUGACCAAGGCUAGCUGCAAACCGAAACUGAUUAAAUCACCCAAAAUCUAGAGAAUUUUGGACGACUAACCAGCAAAACCAAGCUAUCUGAAUGCAAAUUCCAAGCAGGAUUAACCUCCCAAACAUGCAACCAAUUUGACCAGCAACAACCAGAAACAAAACUGAAGUAGAACUCCAACCUAAAACUUGAGAAAAAGUCGAAUUGGAACAAGAAAAUGAAAUUCCUAAUUGCUAAUUCGAUUUUAAUUAAGAGAGUCCAAGUAAAAUCAAAUACAACAAGAAGAAAUACCACAAAACCAAGAAAGCUCGAAAGUGCAAGAGGCACUAAAAGGGAGAUUUUCUCUCUCUAACCACUUUACUGACUGAGAGCUCAAAAACUUGAAACUUUCAAGACCAUUGCAGUACCAUUUUGGCCUGAGAUUUCAUUUGGCCAGCAUUUAAUCCUUCAAGAAACUUUAGAAUCUUCAGACGGAGAUCUAGCAAUUGCAUACCUCUAAGAAACAUAUCCGUAUAAGCACUCACAAAAGAAUUCUUCCAAUAAAUCCACUCAAUUCGGCCCAAAAGAAAUGCAUACACAAUCUAUGAAAUAAAACCCUAUAUUUCGAAAUCGAUUGAAUGGAUCCCCAGUUCCUAUCUCUUGUGGAAUAGCAAAAUUUCAAAUCACAGAUGCAAAUCUAAAUCAACCAAUUUCUUCAAAUUUAAACUCCAUACUGAUGCAACUGAGUAUUAAAACGCAUACAAACGAAAAAGAAAGGGGAAAUAUGCUUGUAUAUACUCGUUGAUCUGAGCAAUAGCAUGACCUUCUGCCUGAAUUUCUUUUCGGUGGGUUUAUGAGAGAGAAAGGGAAGUAAGACGAGAAUGAAGGUAUUGUGGGUGAGUGGGAGAGAGAAGGAAUUCCAUGGAAAAUAAAAUCCUCCUCAUGCUAGGGAAAAUAUUUUCCUUGAUUUCAUGGAAAAUGUGGUCACGUGAGCAAAAGUGGGAAAACAUUU